GACGGAGGGUGCGAGCGUUAUUCGGAAUCAUUGGGCGUAAAGAGCGUGUAGGCGGCCGGUCAAGCCAGAGGUGAAAGCCCAGGGCUUAACCCUGGAAGUGCCUUUGGAACUGGCCGGCUUGAGUUCGGGAGAGGAAAGCGGAAUUCCGGGUGUAGAGGUGAAAUUCGUAGAUAUCCGGAGGAACACCGGUGGCGAAGGCGGCUUUCUGGACCGAAACUGACGCUGAGACGCGAAAGCGUGGGGAGCAAAC
Molecule: ribosomal RNA, 250 nt
Filed under: uncultured bacterium
Lineage: Bacteria
Description: partial 16S ribosomal RNA
Rfam family: Bacterial small subunit ribosomal RNA
Source: RNAcentral